GACGACCGGCGCACGGGUGCGUAACGCGUAUACAAUCUACCUCUUACUGAGGGAUAGCCCAGAGAAAUUUGGAUUAAGCCCUCAUGGUAUAUAGAUAUGGCAUCAUAUUUAUAUUAAAGGUUACGGUAAGAGAUGAGUAUGCGUUCUAUUAGCUAGAUGGUAAGGUAACGGCUUACCAUGGCAACGAUAGAUAGGGGCCCUGAGAGGGGGAUCCCCCACACUGGUACUGAGACACGGACCAGACUCCUACGGGAGGCAGCAGUGAGGAAUAUUGGACAAUGGGCGAGAGCCUGAUCCAGCCAUGCCGCGUGCAGGAAGACGGCCCUAUGGGUUGUAAACUGCUUUUAUACAGGAAGAAACACUCCCUCGUGAGGGAGCUUGACGGUACUGUAAGAAUAAGGACCGGCUAACUCCGUGCCAGCAGCCGCGGUAAUACGGAGGGUCCGAGCGUUAUCCGGAAUCAUUGGGUUUAAAGGGUCCGUAGGUGGAUAAUUAAGUCAGAGGUGAAAUCCUGCAGCUCAACUGUAGAAUUGCCUUUGAAACUGGUUAUCUUGAGUUAUUAUGAAGUAGUUAGAAUAUGUAGUGUAGCGGUGAAAUGCAUAGAUAUUACAUAGAAUACCAAUUGCGAAGGCAGAUUACUAAUAAUAUACUGACACUGAUGGACGAAAGCGUGGGGAGCGAACAGGAUUAGAUACCCUGGUAGUCCACGCCGUAAACGAUGGUCACUAGCUGUUCGGAACUUGUUUCUGAGUGGCUAAGCGAAAGUGAUAAGUGACCCACCUGGGGAGUACGUUCGCAAGAAUGAAACUCAAAGGAAUUGACGGGGGCCCGCACAAGCGGUGGAGCAUGUGGUUUAAUUCGAUGAUACGCGAGGAACCUUACCAGGGCUUAAAUGUAAGUUGCAUAGAGUAGAGAUAUUCUUUUCUUCGGACUACUUACAAGGUGCUGCAUGGUUGUCGUCAGCUCGUGCCGUGAGGUGUCAGGUUAAGUCCUAUAACGAGCGCAACCCCUGUUGUUAGUUGCCAGCGAGUCAUGUCGGGAACUCUAACAAGACUGCC
Molecule: ribosomal RNA, 1058 nt
Filed under: uncultured bacterium
Lineage: Bacteria
Description: bacterial SSU rRNA
Rfam family: Bacterial small subunit ribosomal RNA
Source: RNAcentral